Molecule: ribosomal RNA, 253 nt
Filed under: uncultured bacterium
Lineage: Bacteria
Description: partial 16S ribosomal RNA
Rfam family: Bacterial small subunit ribosomal RNA
Source: RNAcentral
UACGUAGGGUGCGAGCGUUGUCCGGAAUUACUGGGCGUAAAGAGCUCGUAGGCGGCUUGUCGCGUUGUCCGUGAAAAUUUACCGCUCAACGGUGAACUUGCGGGCGAUACGGGCAGGCUAGAGUACUGCAGGGGAGACUGGAAUUCCUGGUGUAGCGGUGAAAUGCGCAGAUAUCAGGAGGAACACCGGUGGCGAAGGCGGCUCUCUGGAAGAUUCCUGACUCUGAGACACGAAAGCUAGGGGAGCAAACGGG